GCAGACGUAUCGAAGUGGCCAUAACGAGCCUGACUCGAAAUCAGGUAGCCUUUCGGGGCACGCGGGUUCGAAUCCCGCCGUCUGCG
This 86-nucleotide transfer RNA is filed under the name Acetivibrio ethanolgignens. It matches the Rfam family "tRNA". From Rfam's summary of the family: Transfer RNA (tRNA) molecules are approximately 80 nucleotides in length. The record is from Rfam by way of RNAcentral. Lineage: Bacteria; Bacillati; Bacillota; Clostridia; Acetivibrionales; Acetivibrionaceae.